GCGAAAGACGGGUGAGAAACCCGUCCGCCGGAUGACUAAGGGUUCCAGGGUCAAGCUAAUCUGCCCUGGGUAAGUCGGGACCUAAGGCGAGGCCGACAGGCGUAGUCGAUGGACAACGGGUUGAUAUUCCCGUACCAGUGAAGAACCGCCCAUGCUGAGCCGGUGAUACUAACCGCCCGAACCAUCCCGAACCUCGUCUUUGACGGGGUCGGUGAUGGGGAGCGCGGGACCUGAACCGGGGAGGCAAGCGCAUUAACAGGUGUGACGCAGGAAGGUAGCCGGGCCGGGCAAUGGAAAUGACCUGGUCUAAGGGUGUAGGGCUGCCGGUAGGUAAAUCCGCCGGCUGUAUGCCUGAGACCUGAUGGGCGCCCACAUGGUGGGUGAUCCG
This 388-nucleotide ribosomal RNA is filed under the name Xanthomonas citri pv. citri. RNAcentral's name for it is "partial 23S ribosomal RNA". It matches the Rfam family "Bacterial large subunit ribosomal RNA", at positions 1309 to 1593 of the family's 2925-position model. The record is from RNAcentral. Lineage: Bacteria; Pseudomonadati; Pseudomonadota; Gammaproteobacteria; Lysobacterales; Lysobacteraceae.